Molecule: transfer RNA, 61 nt
Filed under: Urocitellus parryii (Arctic ground squirrel)
Lineage: Eukaryota; Metazoa; Chordata; Mammalia; Rodentia; Sciuridae
Also listed under: 2 other names
Description: Spermophilus parryii (Arctic ground squirrel) tRNA
Rfam family: tRNA
About the family: Transfer RNA (tRNA) molecules are approximately 80 nucleotides in length. Their secondary structure includes four short double-helical elements and three loops (D, anti-codon, and T loops).
Source: Rfam by way of RNAcentral
UGUGGCUCAGUGGUAGAGUGCUUGCCUGGCAUGCAUGAGAGCCUGAGUUCAAUUCCCAGCA